RNAcentral lists this microRNA precursor (203 nucleotides) under Paramuricea clavata. Lineage: Eukaryota; Metazoa; Cnidaria; Anthozoa; Malacalcyonacea; Plexauridae. The record is from RNAcentral.
GACGUCGAAUAUCGACGUCAUGAACACAAAAGUUAAUCGUGUUUAUGACGUCGAAUAUCGGCGUCAUAAACACCAAAGUAGAUCGUGUUGAUGGCGUCGAAUAUCGACGUCAUAAACACCUAAGUUGAUCGUGUUUAUGACGUCGAAUAUGGAAGUCAUGAACACCAAAGUUGAUCGUGUUUAUGACGUCGAAUAUCGACGUC